UGCAAGUCUGGUGCCAGCAGCCGCGGUAAUUCCAGCUCCAAUAGCGUAUAUUAAAGUUGUUGCAGUUAAAAAGCUCGUAGUUGAACCUUGGGCCUGGCUGGCCGGUCCGCCUCACCGCGUGUACUGGUCCGGCCGGGCCUUUCCUUCUGGGGAGCCGCAUGCCCUUCACUGGGCGUGUCGGGGAACCAGGACUUUUACUUUGAAAAAAUUAGAGUGUUCAAAGCAGGCCUUUGCUCGAAUACAUUAGCAUGGAAUAAUAGAAUAGGACGUGUGGUUCUAUUUUGUUGGUUUCUAGGACCGCCGUAAUGAUUAAUAGGGAUAGUCGGGGGCAUCCGUAUUCAAUUGUCAGAGGUGAAAUUCUUGGAUUUAUUGAAGACGAACUACUGCGAAAGCAUUUGCCAAGGAUGUUUUCAUUAAUCAGUGAACGAAAGUUAGGGGAUCGAAGACGAUCAGAUACCGUCGUAGUCUUAACCAUAAACUAUGCCGACUAGGGAUCGGUGGAUGUUAUCUUUUUGACUCCAUCGGCACCUUACGAGAAAUCAAAGUUUUUGGGUUCUGGGGGGGAGUAUGGGUCGCAAGGCUGAAACUUAAAGGAAUUGACGGAAG
RNAcentral lists this ribosomal RNA (606 nucleotides) under Mycosphaerellaceae sp. 34h01. Its description in RNAcentral is "SSU rRNA". It matches the Rfam family "Eukaryotic small subunit ribosomal RNA", at positions 554 to 1162 of the family's 1831-position model. Lineage: Eukaryota; Fungi; Ascomycota; Dothideomycetes; Mycosphaerellales; Mycosphaerellaceae. The record is from RNAcentral.